UACGUAGGGUGCAAGCGUUGUCCGGAAUUAUUGGGCGUAAAGAGCUCGUAGGCGGCCUGUCGCGUCGGCUGUGAAAACCCGAGGCUCAACCUCGGGCCUGCAGUCGAUACGGGCAGGCUAGAGUUCGGUAGGGGAGACUGGAAUUCCUGGUGUAGCGGUGAAGUGCGCAGAUAUCAGGAGGAACACCGGUGGCGAAGGCGGGUCUCUGGGCUUGUUCUGACGCUGAGGCACAAAAGCUGGGGGAGCAAACGGG
Molecule: ribosomal RNA, 253 nt
Filed under: uncultured prokaryote
Description: partial 16S ribosomal RNA
Rfam family: Bacterial small subunit ribosomal RNA
Source: RNAcentral